AGCUUUACGCAGUGGCAGUAUCAUAGCCAAUGAGGUUUAUCCGAGGCGCGAUUAUUGCUAAUUGAAAAAAAAAGAAAAAGAAAACAUGGCUCAUAUAUAUGCUGUUUACAG
Molecule: small nuclear RNA, 111 nt
Filed under: Myotis lucifugus (little brown bat)
Lineage: Eukaryota; Metazoa; Chordata; Mammalia; Chiroptera; Vespertilionidae
Description: U4 spliceosomal RNA (ENSMLUG00000028362.1)
Rfam family: U4 spliceosomal RNA (bases 1-80)
About the family: U4 small nuclear RNA (U4 snRNA) is a component of the major U2-dependent spliceosome. The structure of U4 snRNA from yeast and human has been reported.
Source: RNAcentral